GCACCCAUAGCUCAGCUGGAUAGAGCGUUGCCCUCCGAAGGCAAAGGUCAGAGGUUCAAAUCCUCUUGGGUGCGCCA
RNAcentral lists this transfer RNA (77 nucleotides) under Hyphomonas sp. Its description in RNAcentral is "tRNA-Arg". It matches the Rfam family "tRNA". From Rfam's summary of the family: Transfer RNA (tRNA) molecules are approximately 80 nucleotides in length. RNAcentral also lists the same sequence under 7 other names. The record is from RNAcentral. Lineage: Bacteria; Pseudomonadati; Pseudomonadota; Alphaproteobacteria; Hyphomonadales; Hyphomonadaceae.